AGCAGUCGCCGCGGUAAUACAGAGGGUGCGAGCGUUAAUCGGAUUUACUGGGCGUAAAGCGUGCGUAGGCGGCUUCUUAAGUCGGAUGUGAAAUCCCUGAGCUUAACUUAGGAAUUGCAUUCGAUACUGGGAAGCUAGAGUAUGGGAGAGGAUGGUAGAAUUCCAGGUGUAGCGGUGAAAUGCGUAGAGAUCUGGAGUAAUACCGAUGGCGAAGGCAGCCAUCUGGCCUAAUACUGACGCUGAGGUACGAAAGCAUGGGGAGCAAACAGGAUUAGAUACCCCAGUAGUCCCUGUCUCUUAUAU
RNAcentral lists this ribosomal RNA (303 nucleotides) under uncultured bacterium. RNAcentral's name for it is "partial 16S ribosomal RNA". It matches the Rfam family "Bacterial small subunit ribosomal RNA", at positions 507 to 809 of the family's 1533-position model. The record is from RNAcentral.